AAAAUCGGUUGUUUCCCCUUCGCUACUGUAUGUUUCCGGUUUCGGAUUUUAUCAGGGAAGCAUGUGAAGUUUACUUUUGUUUAACUACCUUUUGUUCAACGAUGAAGGGAUCUGAGACUUCUAAAACUGUUUACUGAUUUGAUAAUAUUCCUUGUUCCUUUGAUGGUUCAUUCCACUACAGCUGGUUCAUAUACCCUACAACAGCCAGGAAAUUGGUCUGUUUACUUUAAGAUCUGAAGAAAAUGUAACAUAUUUUGGAUGUGCUUUGAGGAAUCAGGAAGGCAAGUGUUUCCUCUUGUUUAUGAAAGAAACUCAGUUGGUUAAGGGGCAGACAACUUGUGAGCAUGGUACAUCACUACCUGUAUUGGUAUUCCAUUUUGACAAUGCUGCUAGCUAGAAUAGAAAUAACAUCUUGCUGUGGUAUGGUCUGUGGAGAGUUUUACUAGGCAACAACCAUUUUUUAUAGCUGUUAAAACAGUGUAUACUUUUAACCCUUAGGCUGAAUGAGGCAGCUAUGUCUGCCUUUGCAACCAGUGCAGAUCAAGAUCAACCUGCACAUCUGUGCAGUCUGAUCAUGAUCUGCAGUGUUUGAUAUUUAGUCAGCAAAUUUUCUAUGAGAACCCCUUAUAAGCUAUAAAUGGUACUGUCUCUGUUUAAGAUGGAGUAGUCCAUUUUGCAAAUUUAGCAGGUUAAGGGUUAACACAGUAAAUGCAAAAAAUGUGUUUUAGAACAUCCUAUUUGCAGUAAUCAAAAUUUACAAACAAAGUACAUUUUAUAUACUGACAGCACGCUGUUGUCAGUCUGUCAAUAUUUUAGAGCAUUGGUUGUAAGAAUCAUCUAUUAUCAUAUAGUGAUAACUCUGCUUUUAUUAAAUAAAGCGACUCCCAGGUUAAUUUUUUAAAAUAAAAUGUUUUACU
Molecule: long non-coding RNA, 917 nt
Organism: Mercenaria mercenaria
Lineage: Eukaryota; Metazoa; Mollusca; Bivalvia; Venerida; Veneridae
Exons: 3
Source: RefSeq, a predicted model, not a curated record